CUUGGGGUUAGGGUUCGGUUAAGUUUGAGGGUAAGGGUUAGGGUUAGGUUCAGUGCUAGGUUUACAUUUAGGGUUAGGAUACAGCUGGGGUUAGGAUUAAGGUUAGGAUUAGGGUUAGUGUUUGUUUUGGGUUAGGGACUGGGUCAGGGUUAGGGUUGAUGUUCAGGUUGGGUUAAUAUUAGUGUGAGGGUUAGUAUUUGCAGAAAGGUUUAGAGCAAGGUUUCAGGUUUGCAUUAGAGUUAGGGUUAGGGUUAGAGUUUGGGGUUAAUUUUGGGUAGUGUUAGGGUUAGGGAUUGGGUUUGAUUGAGGGUUAAACUUAUGGUAAGAUUUAGGGUUGAGCUUAGGGUUAGGGUUUGGAAUUAGGUUUAAGAUUAAUGUUGUGGCUAGGCUUAGAGUAAGGUUUAGAGUUAGGGUUAGGGUUAUGUUUAGGGCAGGGUUUGGGUUAAAGUUAGGCUUGUGGGCUAGGGUGUAGUAUCCUCUGUACAGAUUCUAUUGUGAUACAUGAUUGAACCAUUUGCCAUUUCACAUUUAAUCCUUAGGGGAACCGAGUAAAUGGGAGUUUCAUGUGUUCUCAUGUUCAAUACAGAACCAGCAGUGGCAGCAACGAUGUCGAGACAAUGACUUUCACAGGCAUGAGAAGUAAUGGAGAUGUGCACAGUUCUUCCAGCCGCUGUGCAAAGAGCCAAUCCAAACCAGCGCUCUUCUUUACAAGUCCCUUUAUGCCAGUGAGGUUUCUGUCAACAGUGGGUGUGCUUACAAUAGACACAUGAGGUAAGCUCUGGGUUCUACUGACUCUUUCUAUUAUGAUUCUACGAUUACUUUUGACCUUUUCAUUUUCCUUUUAGUUUUCUUUCAUUGUUAUUUUUUUCCAGGCGUGUACCUGGACAAAGCCCAGCAGUUCCCAUGAUACCAUUGUGUCCGUGAUGCUUUCCUAGUGAAGGGAGUUUCACCUGGAUGAUACCUCCUUGUACAGCCAAAUGCACUGAAACCAAAACGAACCUUGCUGUUAUUCAUUUCAUGUGGUCAUUUAAGUGGCCAUUUUAAUACAAUGUAUUUUAAUCAGAGAGAUGGCCAGCCAAUCAGAGAGAUCCCCCACGACAUCCUUAUAACAAAGCUGAGGAAGUAUGGGAUAGAUGAGUGGACAGUGAGUGAAUUACCUGGAGCAGGCAUUUUGUUCCCUUUCCGUGGACUUGAGAACUGACAAAGGGGAGAACUUUCUUCUGGGAUAUCUACAGUAUGCCUUCAGUCACUGAUUUGGCUCUUUAGUUGCUGACAGACUGAGCUCAGACUGCAGCUCAGCAGUUGUCACCUACAUCAAUGCUUUCAGCUUCCUGGGGUCACUGGAGCUGAGAACUGACUGUCCUGACAGUGCAGCCUCCCAGAAUACUGCAUUGCAGCCACUCUUCCUCUCCUAACCCCAGAGCUGUACAGUCACCACCAUCUGUGGCACCAGAACGCAUCUUCAGACGCCCCUCAGUCCGCAGCCCUCAGAAUGCCUUGCAUGCUGACCUCCACCUCUGUGUGCUCCAGCACCCACGAGAAGAGACUCCAGGAUUAAACAUGCUCACCUCUGUGACACCUCUGUUGUCACAUCAGGACAACCCUAUCAAGCCAGCUUUUCAAUUAACUCAAUCCUUUGCACAUCCUUCUGCCACCAACCACCCCAAGGCUAUCCCUGUCUUUGCCCUUGUUGGAAAUACCCAAAUAAUUUAUCAGGACGGUAUUUCUGAUAAAGCAGAUUUUCUUUGCAAUUGCAAGGCCAGGCCUCCUGCAGGCAGGAGAGCGCCCCGAAAACAGCCUUACAUCCUUUAUGCCCUAUUAUUCCAUGCUGAUCUCUUUCUCCCCUGGUUCCUCAUUGGCUGAGUGCUUCAGGUUCACAAUCUUCCGGACACUCAACUGAACCUACGGAUACUGGAUGAACAUCAGCUGUUGCAGCUGAGCACACAUCGCUUAUGAGUGACUUCUCACACUUGCUCACUCAACACUCGGUCGUAGUUUCUGGACUUCUGCUCGUCCCUGCAUAGAGAUGAGCUUGGAAGGAGGACAAGGGGGAUGCCUUGAUGCCUGCCUGUUGCAUCCCAGCCUACCCACAGAGCCAGGCAAGCCAACCUUGUGUAGAGGCCCUGGCUCCUUUGAUGUUUGUUAAGUCUGUUUCUCUUUUGCUGAGGGUCUCUUAUCCAAACAGAACAGCCCUCAGUAUGCUUUCUAGCCCAUAAUACCAUACCUAUACUAUUUGCAUCAUUUAAAAACUAUUGCAGUUUUGCAAGCUUAAUUAAUCACACAAUUCAGCAGCUGUAUUUCUAAAGCACGUUACUAACAAUACAUUAUUUCUGCCUUUUCACAGCAACUAUUUCUAAGGACAAGUUACAAAAUACAAAAACACUGUGCUCU
This is a long non-coding RNA of Tympanuchus pallidicinctus (lesser prairie-chicken), 2391 nucleotides long. RefSeq lists it as uncharacterized. The record is from RefSeq and is a predicted model, not a curated record. NCBI's taxonomy places the organism in Eukaryota, Metazoa, Chordata, Aves, Galliformes, Phasianidae. The transcript is spliced from 2 exons.